GAUGAACGCUGGCGGCGUGCUUAACACAUGCAAGUCGAACGGAAAGGCCUCAGCUUGCUGGGGUACUCGAGAGGCGAACGGGUGAGUAACACGUGGGUGAUCUGCCCUGCACUUUGGGAUAAGCCCGGGAAACUGGGUCUAAUACCGAAUAUGACCACUUCUUGGAUGUUGUGGUGGAAAGCUUUUGCGGUGUGGGAUGAGCCUGCGGCCUAUCAGCUUGUUGGUGGGGUAAUGGCCUACCGAGGCGGCGACGGGUAUCCGGCCUGAGAGGGUGUACGGACACAUUGGGACUGAGAUACGGCCCAGACUCCUACGGGAGGCAGCAGUGGGGAAUAUUGCACAAUGGGCGCAAGCCUGAUGCAGCGACGCCGCGUGGGGGAUGAAGGCCUUCGGGUUGUAAACUCCUUUCGCUAUCGACGAAGCCACUUGUGGUGACGGUAGGUAGAUAAGAAGCACCGGCUAACUACGUGCCAGCAGCCGCCGUAA
This 486-nucleotide ribosomal RNA is filed under the name uncultured bacterium. RNAcentral's name for it is "partial 16S ribosomal RNA". It matches the Rfam family "Bacterial small subunit ribosomal RNA", at positions 28 to 523 of the family's 1533-position model. The record is from RNAcentral.